This 794-nucleotide ribosomal RNA is filed under the name uncultured Alphaproteobacteria bacterium. Its description in RNAcentral is "bacterial SSU rRNA". It matches the Rfam family "Bacterial small subunit ribosomal RNA", at positions 41 to 883 of the family's 1533-position model. The record is from RNAcentral. Lineage: Bacteria; Pseudomonadati; Pseudomonadota; Alphaproteobacteria.
GGCAUGCCUAAAACAUGCAAGUCGAACGAAGUCUUCGGACUUAGUGGCGCACGGGUGAGUAACAUGUGGGAAUCUACCUAGAGGUUCGGGAUAACUAUUGGAAACAGUAGCUAAUACCGGAUGUGUCUGCAAAGAGAAAGAUUUAUUGCCUUUAGAUGAGCCCGCACUAGAUUAGCUAGUUGGUGAGGUAAUUGCUCCACCAAGGCUACGAUCUAUAGCUGGUUUGAGAGGAUGAUCAGCCACACUGGGACUGAGACACGGCCCAGACUCCUACGGGAGGCAGCAGUUAGGAAUAUUGGACAAUGGGGGAAACCCUGAUCCAGCAAUGCCGCGUGAGUGAAGAAGGCCUUAGGGUUGUAAAACUCUUUCAUCAAUGAUGAUAAUGACAUUAGUUGAAGAAGAAGCUCCGGCUAACUCCGUGCCAGCAGCCGCGGUAAUACGGAGGGGGCUAGCGUUGUUCGGAAUUACUGGGCGUAAAGCGUAUGUAGGCUGAUUAAAAAGUUAGAUGUGAAAUCCCUGGGCUCAACCCAGGAACUGCAUUUAAAACUAAUAAUCUAGAAAAUGGUAGGGGUUAGUAGAAUUUCCAGUGUAGAGGUGAAAUUCGUAGAUAUUGGAAAGAAUACCAGUGGCGAAGGCGACUAACUAGGCCAAUUUUGACGCUGAGAUACGAAAGCGUGGGUAGCAAACAGGAUUAGAUACCCUGGUAGUCCACGCAGUAAACGAUGAGUGCUAGUGGUUGGAUCAAUAGAUUCAGUCUCGAAGCUAACGCAUUAAGCACUCCGCCUGGGAAGUAC